GAAGAAACAGAGGACUUGUAGGCCCUGGUCAUGGCAGAUGGAGGUAUAGAGAGAUGUCCAUAGUGAAGAUGAUACGUUGAGGGCGAGUGAAAUGCAAGUUUUGGAGGAGAUGGAAGACAUGGGUGGUGUCUCGAACGUAUGUGGAGAAUUCCUGGACUUGGGAGGGGGGUAGGGUUAAAAAAAAAAAAAGGACAGUAUUGAGGUGGGUAGAGAUGUGUUCGGUGGGGGAAGAGCAGGCUGAGACAAUGGGUUAGCCGGGAUGGUCAGGCUUGUUGACCCUGGAAAGCAGAUAGAAUCGGGCGGUGUGGGGUCCCUGAACUAGGAGGUUGGAAGCUGUAGGUGGGUGGGAGAUAUCCUGAGGUGAUGAGAUUGUGUAUGGUCUGGGAGAUGAUGGUUUGGUGAUGGGGGGGUUUGGGGUGAGGUCAUGGCCGAGGGAGCGGUAGGAGGAGGUGUCUUUGAGUUGGCGCCUGGCUUCAGCAGUGUAGAGGUCAGUGCACCAAACUACCACUGCACCUCCCUUACCCGCUGGUUUGAUGGUGAGGUGGAGGUUGGAGCAGAGGGAUUGGAGGGUUGCACAUUAUGAGGGUGAGUGGCUGGAGUGGGGGAGGAGGGUAGACAGGUUGAUAGAGGGCAGGUAAUAGGCCAGCACGGGGUGUCCAGGUAGCUGGAGCGUGUUAAAGGCGGGUGAAGGGGUCCGCGGAGGCGGCAGAACUAUAAUUCUUUUAGUUACUGGAUAAUUAUGAAAUUCCUUCCAUUUUCAGGUCUCUUUGGCAUACCACUAAAAAUCAACUACGAAAGGAAAUGGCUUUAACUUUUUUUGGAAUUUCAGAACAAUUAUAGGAACGUACAGGAACGCAACCAUCAAGUUACAGAAGACCUGACUAUAGUUCAAAAUUGUUGGGAAAAAUUAUAUUAAAAUUCCAGACUUAAUCGUCAGACUGUAAGUACAGGUUUUAAUAGCUGGAAAGAGGAGAAAAGGAAAAAAAGAUUCUCUGAACUGCAUUUGCAAAUGACAGACGACCAGUCAACUUUAAAAGAUGGUAAACAAAAAUCACCUGACAACUAUCUUUAUUUACUUUUUAACAGCUAAAAGGGCAAACGGCCUAUUCACGGAAUCUUAAGAGAUCUCAUAAGAGAUAAAGACUUUGGAAAGGGAAAAGGUUUGCACAUGACAAUCCAAAA
Long non-coding RNA from Chiloscyllium plagiosum (whitespotted bambooshark), 1182 nucleotides. RefSeq lists it as uncharacterized. Lineage: Eukaryota; Metazoa; Chordata; Chondrichthyes; Orectolobiformes; Hemiscylliidae. The record is from RefSeq and is a predicted model, not a curated record.